AUAAAGUAUUUUUUCCUUGUUAGAAGAUACAAAGCCAAAGACUCAUACGGACUUCGGCUACACCAUGAAAAU
RNAcentral lists this small RNA (72 nucleotides) under Arabidopsis thaliana (thale cress). RNAcentral describes it as "ATSL198170". The record is from RNAcentral. Lineage: Eukaryota; Viridiplantae; Streptophyta; Magnoliopsida; Brassicales; Brassicaceae.